This 343-nucleotide unclassified non-coding RNA is filed under the name soil metagenome. RNAcentral describes it as "partial contains 5.8S ribosomal RNA, internal transcribed spacer 2, and large subunit ribosomal RNA". The stretch from base 1 to 120 matches the Rfam family "5.8S ribosomal RNA", at positions 35 to 154 of the family's 154-position model. The record is from RNAcentral.
GAUGAAGAACGCAGCGAAAUGCGAUAAGUAAUGUGAAUUGCAGAAUUCAGUGAAUCAUCGAAUCUUUGAACGCACAUUGCGCCCGCCAGCAUUCUGGCGGGCAUGCCUGUUCGAGCGUCAUUUCAACCCUCGAGCCCCCCCGGGGGCCUCGGUGCUGGGGGACGGCACACCAGCCGCCCCCGAAAUGCAGUGGCGACCCCGCCGCAGCCUCCCCUGCGUAGUAGCACACACCUCGCACCGGAGCGCGGAGGCGGUCACGCCGUAAAACGCCCAACUUUCUUAGAGUUGACCUCGGAUCAGGUAGGAAUACCCGCUGAACUUAAGCAUAUCAAUAAGCGGAGGA